Molecule: ribosomal RNA, 301 nt
Filed under: uncultured bacterium
Lineage: Bacteria
Description: partial 16S ribosomal RNA
Rfam family: Bacterial small subunit ribosomal RNA
Source: RNAcentral
CAGCAGCCGCGGUAAUACGGAGGGAGCUAGCGUUGUUCGGAAUUACUGGGCAUAAAGCGCACGUAGGCGGCUUUGUAAGUCAGAGGUGAAAGCCUGGAGCUCAACUCCAGAACUGCCUUUGAGACUGCAUCGCUUGAAUCCAGGAGAGGUGAGUGGAAUUCCGAGUGUAGAGGUGAAAUUCGUAGAUAUUCGGAAGAACACCAGUGGCGAAGGCGGCUCACUGGACUGGUAUUGACGCUGAGGUGCGAAAGCGUGGGGAGCAAACAGGAUUAGAUACCCCGGUAGUCCCUGUCUCUUAUAC